Zea mays is the source of this 627-nucleotide long non-coding RNA. RefSeq lists it as uncharacterized. Lineage: Eukaryota; Viridiplantae; Streptophyta; Magnoliopsida; Poales; Poaceae. The transcript has 2 exons. The record is from RefSeq and is a predicted model, not a curated record.
CCACGUCGUGCCUGUAUGCAAACAUAAUUGCAUCAGCCACCGCGAAAUCUGGCUGGACCGUUGCAACUGCCUUCGCCCAGGUGUGCGGCUCGGUCCCCAUGCUAUAAACAUGGAGCCCCACGACCCUCAUCCCCUCAUCCCUUCCUAGUCGAAGGCACCGUCGCCACCACCAUAGUUGUGCGCAGGGUGAGAGAGAGAACCAGAACGUCGCCGCCGCUGUGGGAAUUCAUCCACAACACCACUCGGUCCCUAUAAAGUCAUUAGGGAAUAUCACCAGACGCGGUUGAAGCUCGCCCGAGAUCAAGCACAGCACGAACCCUACUGAGGCGUCCGCAAUUUCAUGUCGGUGACCGUGCAUCGCCGCUGCGUCGUGGGGAUUCGUGGGCAGGAUCUCUGCGCCGCCAACAACCAAGGAGCAAGUGACCGGGAAACCCCGAAGCACCACAAGUUGAAGACUCUGAGCAGGAGCUCAUAGAAGGCAAGUGUAUGCUUGAUCACAUUCUUUGACCUAAUAAUGUUCAUGAUUCUGAUAAUCCCAUGGCACUAUUAGGCUUAACUAAUGGGAUCUAAUAGGUUACCUAGUUUGUUUACUAUACACCUUGCAUACAAAUAAAUUAUUCAGUAUUA